This is a long non-coding RNA of Bombus impatiens (common eastern bumble bee), 237 nucleotides long. RefSeq lists it as uncharacterized. Lineage: Eukaryota; Metazoa; Arthropoda; Insecta; Hymenoptera; Apidae. The record is from RefSeq and is a predicted model, not a curated record. The transcript is spliced from 2 exons.
GUUUGUAAUCGCCGUCUACAAGAAACGGGACAGUUUUCUGUGGAUUCAGCUAUAAUAGGAAUAUAAUCGCCAUAUGUUAUUUUACGCAUUACUGUAAAAUUUCAUUUUAACACAUACUGUUUAACUGUUGCGAAUGCUGUAUAAUCGAGGAAGCGUAUAAUGUUUCGUUGACCGUACAUUAUUAAUUUGAUAGGUCCGUGUAAUAUAGUGUAUUGAUAAUAAUAAUAUUUCAAUUGA